GAUGAACGCUAGCGGCAGGCUUAAUACAUGCAAGUCGAGGGGCAGCACGGACAGCAAUGUCUGGUGGCGACCGGCAAACGGGUGCGGAACACGUACACAACCUUCCUUUUGGUGGGGGAUAGCCCAGAGAAAUUUGGAUUAAUACCCCGUAGUAUAAUGGUGAAGCAUUUCACUGUUAUUAAAGAUUUAUUGCCAGGAGAUGGGUGUGCGUCUGAUUAGGUAGUUGGUCGGGGAAAGGCCCACCAAGCCAACGACCAGUAACUGGUGUGAGAGCACGACCAGUCACACGGGCACUGAGACACGGGCCCGACUCCUACGGGAGGCAGCAGUAAGGAAUAUUGGUCAAUGGACNCAAGUCUGAACCAGCCAUGCCGCGUGGAGGAU
This 384-nucleotide ribosomal RNA is filed under the name uncultured bacterium. RNAcentral describes it as "bacterial SSU rRNA". It matches the Rfam family "Bacterial small subunit ribosomal RNA", at positions 28 to 409 of the family's 1533-position model. The record is from RNAcentral.